GCCAGGUGUGGUGGCACAGGCCUGUAAUCCCAGUGGCUUGGGAGGCAGAGGCAGGAUUAUUGCAAGUUCAGCCUCAGCAAUUUAGUAAGGCUUUUAGAAACUUAGCAAGACCCUGUCUCAA
Molecule: small RNA, 121 nt
Filed under: Marmota monax (woodchuck)
Lineage: Eukaryota; Metazoa; Chordata; Mammalia; Rodentia; Sciuridae
Source: RNAcentral